UCCAUCUUUGGACACGUAAGAAUUGGAGGCAAAGAAAUGUGGAAUUGGAGGCAAAGAAAUGUGGACUUGGAGAAAUCUGGAGCCAGCUUGCUCCCUACAGGCUCAAGAUCAACCAUCCAACAUAG
This is a small nucleolar RNA of Eptesicus fuscus (big brown bat), 125 nucleotides long. RefSeq annotates it as small nucleolar RNA SNORA38. The record is from RefSeq and is a predicted model, not a curated record. The transcript has a single exon. Lineage: Eukaryota; Metazoa; Chordata; Mammalia; Chiroptera; Vespertilionidae.